Molecule: ribosomal RNA, 463 nt
Filed under: uncultured bacterium
Lineage: Bacteria
Description: partial 16S ribosomal RNA
Rfam family: Bacterial small subunit ribosomal RNA
Source: RNAcentral
CUACGGGGCGCUGCAGUGGGGAAUUUUGGACAAUGGGGGCAACCCUGAUCCAGCAAUGCCGCGUGAGUGAAGAAGGCCUUCGGGUUGUAAAGCUCUUUUGUCAGGGAAGAAACACCGGCUCUAACACAGUCCGGGAAUGACGGUACCUGAAGAAUAAGCACCGGCUAACUACGUGCCAGCAGCCGCGGUAAUACGUAGGGUGCGAGCGUUAAUCGGAAUUACUGGGCGUAAAGCGUGCGCAGGCGGUUAUACAAGACAGGCGUGAAAUCCCCGGGCUUAACCUGGGAAUGGCGCCUGUGACUGUAUAGCUAGAGUGUGUCAGAGGGGGGUAGAAUUCCACGUGUAGCAGUGAAAUGCGUAGAUAUGUGGAGGAAUACCAAUGGCGAAGGCAGCCCCCUGGGAUAACACUGACGCUCAUGCACGAAAGCGUGGGGAGCAAACAGGAUUAGAUACCCUCGUAGUC